UUAUUGCUCAAGAAUACCCUU
RNAcentral lists this microRNA (21 nucleotides) under Caenorhabditis brenneri. Its description in RNAcentral is "cbn-miR-234". Its record names the gene cbn-miR-234. Lineage: Eukaryota; Metazoa; Nematoda; Chromadorea; Rhabditida; Rhabditidae. The record is from miRBase by way of RNAcentral.